GUAGGUGGCAAGCGUUGUCCGGAAUUAUUGGGCGUAAAGCGCGCGCAGGCGGUCCUUUAAGUCUGAUGUGAAAGCCCACGGCUCAACCGUGGAGGGUCAUUGGAAACUGGGGGACUUGAGUACAGAAGAGGAAAGCGGAAUUCCAAGCGUAGCGGUGAAAUGCGUAGAGAUUUGGAGGAACACCAGUGGCGAAGGCGGCUUUCUGGUCUGUAACUGACGCUGAGGCGCGAAAGCGUGGGGAGCAAACAGGGAUUAGAUACCCUGGUAGUCCACGCCGUAAACGAUGAGUGCUAAGUGUUAGGGGGUUUCCCGCCCCUUAGUGCUGCAGCUAACGCAUUAAGCACUCCGCCUGGGGAUACGGCCGCAAGGCUG
RNAcentral lists this ribosomal RNA (372 nucleotides) under uncultured organism. RNAcentral's name for it is "partial 16S ribosomal RNA". It matches the Rfam family "Bacterial small subunit ribosomal RNA", at positions 527 to 896 of the family's 1533-position model. The record is from RNAcentral.